Molecule: ribosomal RNA, 864 nt
Filed under: Acinetobacter pittii
Lineage: Bacteria; Pseudomonadati; Pseudomonadota; Gammaproteobacteria; Moraxellales; Moraxellaceae
Description: bacterial LSU rRNA
Rfam family: Bacterial large subunit ribosomal RNA
Source: RNAcentral
CGUCUGGAAAGGCGCGCGAUACAGGGUGACAGCCCCGUACACAAAAAUGCACAUGCUGUGAGCUCGAUGAGUAGGGCGGGACACGUGGUAUCCUGUCUGAAUAUGGGGGGACCAUCCUCCAAGGCUAAAUACUCCUGACUGACCGAUAGUGAACCAGUACCGUGAGGGAAAGGCGAAAAGAACCCCGGCGAGGGGAGUGAAAAAGAACCUGAAACCGUGUACGUACAAGCAGUGGGAGCACGCUUAGGCGUGUGACUGCGUACCUUUUGUAUAAUGGGUCAGCGACUUAUAUUCUGUAGCAAGGUUAACCGAAUAGGGGAGCCGAAGGGAAACCGAGUCUUAACUGGGCGUUAAGUUGCAGGGUAUAGACCCGAAACCCGGUGAUCUAGCCAUGGGCAGGUUGAAGGUUGGGUAACACUAACUGGAGGACCGAACCGACUAAUGUUGAAAAAUUAGCGGAUGACUUGUGGCUGGGGGUGAAAGGCCAAUCAAACCGGGAGAUAGCUGGUUCUCCCCGAAAGCUAUUUAGGUAGCGCCUCGUGAAUUCAUCUCCGGGGGUAGAGCACUGUUUCGGCAAGGGGGUCAUCCCGACUUACCAACCCGAUGCAAACUGCGAAUACCGGAGAAUGUUAUCACGGGAGACACACGGCGGGUGCUAACGUCCGUCGUGAAGAGGGAAACAACCCAGACCGCCAGCUAAGGUCCCAAAGUCAUGGUUAAGUGGGAAACGAUGUGGGAAGGCCCAGACAGCCAGGAUGUUGGCUUAGAAGCAGCCAUCAUUUAAAGAAAGCGUAAUAGCUCACUGGUCGAGUCGGCCUGCGCGGAAGAUGUAACGGGGCUAAACCAUGCACCGAAGCUGCGGCA